UUUUUGGAGAGUUUGAUCUUGGCUCAGGACGAACGCUGGCGGCGUGCCUAAUACAUGCAAGUCGAGCGAGUGAAAUUAACUGAUCCCUUCGGGGUGACGUUAAUGGAUCUAGCGGCGGACGGGUGAGUAACACGUGGGCAACCUGCCUGUAAGACUGGGAUAACUCGCGGAAACGUGAGCUAAUACCGGAUAACACUUCGAACCACAUGGUUUGAAGAUGAAAGGCGGCGCAAGCUGUCACUUACAGAUGGGCCCGCGGCGCAUUAGCUAGUUGGUGAGGUAACGGCUCACCAAGGCGACGAUGCGUAGCCGACCUGAGAGGGUGAUCGGCCACACUGGGACUG
RNAcentral lists this ribosomal RNA (344 nucleotides) under Ornithinibacillus hominis. Its description in RNAcentral is "Bacterial small subunit ribosomal RNA". It matches the Rfam family "Bacterial small subunit ribosomal RNA", at positions 1 to 321 of the family's 1533-position model. Lineage: Bacteria; Bacillati; Bacillota; Bacilli; Caryophanales; Bacillaceae. The record is from Rfam by way of RNAcentral.